RNAcentral lists this non-coding RNA (32 nucleotides) under Homo sapiens (human). Lineage: Eukaryota; Metazoa; Chordata; Mammalia; Primates; Hominidae. The record is from RNAcentral.
UGCAGUUGAUUUCAUCUCCCCUACAAAUGGAA